UGGAAACAGAUGCUAAUACCGCAUAACAACGUUGUUCGCAUGAACAACGCUUAAAAGAUGGCUUCUCGCUAUCACUUCUGGAUGGACCUGCGGUGCAUUAGCUUGUUGGUGGGGUAACGGCCUACCAAGGCGAUGAUGCAUAGCCGAGUUGAGAGACUGAUCGGCCACAAUGGGACUGAGACACGGCCCAUACUCCUACGGGAGGCAGCAGUAGGGAAUCUUCCACAAUGGGCGCAAGCCUGAUGGAGCAACACCGCGUGAGUGAAGAAGGGUUUCGGCUCGUAAAGCUCUGUUGUUAAAGAAGAACACGUAUGAGAGUAACUGUUCAUACGUUGACGGUAUUUAACCAGAAAGUCACGGCUAACUACGUGCCAGCAGCCGCGGUAAUACGUAGGUGGCAAGCGUUAUCCGGAUUUAUUGGGCGUAAAGAGAGUGCAGGCGGUUUUCUAAGUCUGAUGUGAAAGCCUUCGGCUUAACCGGAGAAGUGCAUCGGAAACUGGAUAACUUGAGUGCAGAAGAGGGUAGUGGAACUCCAUGUGUAGCGGUGGAAUGCGUAGAUAUAUGGAAGAACACCAGUGGCGAAGGCGGCUACC
RNAcentral lists this ribosomal RNA (593 nucleotides) under Limosilactobacillus fermentum. RNAcentral describes it as "bacterial SSU rRNA". It matches the Rfam family "Bacterial small subunit ribosomal RNA", at positions 151 to 729 of the family's 1533-position model. The record is from RNAcentral. Lineage: Bacteria; Bacillati; Bacillota; Bacilli; Lactobacillales; Lactobacillaceae.